UGGCGCACGGGUGCGUAACGCGUAACCAACCUGCCCUUGACUGGGGGAUAGCCCGCCGAAAGGCGGAUUAAUACCGCAUAAAAUAAGGUGGCGGCAUCGUCUCUUUAUUAAAGAUUUAUUGGUCAAGGAUGGGGUUGCGUAGCAUUAGCUGGUUGGCGGGGUAACGGCCCACCAAGGCGACGAUGCUUAGGGGAGCUGAGAGGCUGGUCCCCCACACGGGCACUGAGAUACGGGCCCGACUCCUACGGGAGGCAGCAGUAGGGAAUAUUGGGCAAUGGGAGCAAUCCUGACCCAGCCAUGCCGCGUGCCGGAUGAAGGCUUUCUGAGUCGUAAACGGCUUUUGCCAGGGAAGAAUAAGGGGCAUGCGUGCUCCGACGACGGUACCUGGUGAAUAAGCACCGGCUAACUCCGUGCCAGCAGCCGCGGUAAUACGGAGGGUGCAAGCGUUGUCCGGAUUUAUUGGGUUUAAAGGGUGCGUAGGCGGUUUUUUAAGUCUGGGGUGAAAGCCCGUUGCUCAACAACGGAACUGCCCUGGAAACUGGGAAGACUUGAGUACAGACGAGGUUGGCGGAAUGGAUGCUGUAGCGGUGAAAUGCAUAGAUAGCAUCCAGAACCCCGAUUGCGAAGGCAGCUGACUAGGCUGUAACUGACGCUGAGGCACGAAAGCGUGGGGAGCGAACAGGAUUAGAUACCCUGGUAGUC
RNAcentral lists this ribosomal RNA (702 nucleotides) under uncultured bacterium. RNAcentral's name for it is "bacterial SSU rRNA". It matches the Rfam family "Bacterial small subunit ribosomal RNA", at positions 96 to 795 of the family's 1533-position model. The record is from RNAcentral.